GAGAUUGUAGCAGAAGGUACAAUGGAAUGGGGUUAUGUGUGUUUACUUCCUGUGUUUGGAUUCAUGUUUACUUUUUCUGGAACAGUGAAAGCGACCUGUCCACCUGGAGCCAGACUCUAUGACUGUUCCGGCUGUUGGUCACAUUGUCCUACAGAGCAAGUGUGUUCUGCUGGUUGUAUUAGUGGCUGUGUAUGUGAUACGAACGGUUAUGUUUUAC
Pelobates fuscus (common spadefoot toad) is the source of this 217-nucleotide long non-coding RNA. RefSeq lists it as uncharacterized. Lineage: Eukaryota; Metazoa; Chordata; Amphibia; Anura; Pelobatidae. The record is from RefSeq and is a predicted model, not a curated record. The transcript is spliced from 3 exons.